CUUUGAUCUAAUUAGUUAUAUAUAGAUUAAAGCUGUGAACAUGUAGCUUUCAGAAUACUUGAGGGGCUAAUAAAUACCCCACUUCCUCCUCUCCUGUUCCAUUCUGAAUAUUUCUGCUCCUGCUGAUGUUAAGUCAGAAUCUUCCCCCGAAGUGCCUUUUCAGGUGGACUGACAAUAAACGCUGAAUCAAGAAGACUUCAGGGGAGAAUAAAGACAGGAGCUACUGCUCAACAGGUUGUCAAGCUACAGUCAGAAUUCGAGCUGUACUGGUAUCACUGCACCACGCAGCCCUUGUGCUCUUAACACUGAGGUUGGAACUCCCCUCUGAACGCUUCUGCUUCAGUUUUCCAGCUCUAUUUUCUUCAAGUGCAGUUAGUUGCUUUAUAGCUUGAAGAAAUAUAUUGGUUUAUUUACCUGUUAGAACUAUAAUAAUAUUGCCUUCGGAGUCCUCCUUGGUAAUAAAUCUGACUACUCUUUUCCCA
Molecule: long non-coding RNA, 482 nt
Filed under: Numida meleagris (helmeted guineafowl)
Lineage: Eukaryota; Metazoa; Chordata; Aves; Galliformes; Numididae
Description: lncRNA (ENSNMEG00000018317.1)
Source: RNAcentral